This 364-nucleotide ribosomal RNA is filed under the name Aegla sp. KACa0479. RNAcentral describes it as "partial 12S small subunit ribosomal RNA". Lineage: Eukaryota; Metazoa; Arthropoda; Malacostraca; Decapoda; Aeglidae. The record is from RNAcentral.
UAUUAUAUUUAAUAUUAAACACUACAUAUUUGAUUAUUAAUAGAUAUAUGCUUUAAAUUCAAAGAAUUUGGCGGUAUUUUAGUCUUGUUAGAGGAACCUGUUUUAUAAUCGAUAAGCCACGUGUAUUUCACUUAUUUUAAAUAACUUGUAUACCGUCAUUAUUAGAUAACUUUCAAAAAAUUAGUUAUUAAAACUAAAAUAAAAAAUUAAAUAUAUUAGAUCAAGGUGCAGUUAAUAAAUAAGAAAAAAUGGGUUACAAUAAAAUUUAUUUAAAACGAAUUAUAUAAAUGAAAAAAUAUAUGAAGGAGGAUUUAAUUGUAAUUUUUUUUUAUAAAAUAAUAAUAUGAUAUUAGCUCUAAAAUAU